UCUUCCCUCUGGCGGCGUGCCUAAUACAUGCAAGUCGAGCGAACAGACGAGGAUCUUGCUCCUCUGACGUUAGCGGCGGACGGGUGAGUAACACGUGUAUAACCUACCUAUAAGACUGGGAUAACUUCGGGAAACCGGAGCUAAUACCGGAUAAUAUAUUGAACCGCAUGGUUCAAUAGUGAAAGACGGUUUUGCUGUCACUUAUAGAUGGAUCCGCGCCGCAUUAGCUAGUUGUUAAGGUAACGGCUUACCAAGGCAACGAUGCGUAGCCGACCUGAGAGGGUGAUCGGCCACACUGGAACUGAGACACGGUCAAGACUCCUACGGGAGGCAGCAGUAGGGAAUCUUCCGCAAUGGGCGAAAGCCUGACGGAGCAACGCCGCGUGAGUGAUGAAGGUCUUCGGAUCGUAAAACUCUGUUAUUAGGGAAGAACAAAUGUGUAAGUAACUAUGCACGUCUUGACGGUACCUAAUCAGAAAGCCACGGCUAACUACGUG
RNAcentral lists this ribosomal RNA (497 nucleotides) under uncultured bacterium. RNAcentral's name for it is "partial 16S ribosomal RNA". It matches the Rfam family "Bacterial small subunit ribosomal RNA", at positions 36 to 507 of the family's 1533-position model. The record is from RNAcentral.